Molecule: ribosomal RNA, 561 nt
Filed under: Hansenula anomala
Lineage: Eukaryota; Fungi; Ascomycota; Saccharomycetes; Phaffomycetales; Wickerhamomycetaceae
Description: Wickerhamomyces anomalus partial large subunit ribosomal RNA
Rfam family: Eukaryotic large subunit ribosomal RNA
Source: RNAcentral
AUUGCCUCAGUAACGGCGAGUGAAGCGGCAAAAGCUCAAAUUUGAAAUCUAGCACCUUCGGUGUUCGAGUUGUAAUUUGAAGAUGGUAACCUUGGGUUUGGCUCUUGUCUAUGUUCCUUGGAACAGGACGUCAUAGAGGGUGAGAAUCCCGUCUGAUGAGAUGCCCAUUCCUAUGUAAGGUGCUAUCGAAGAGUCGAGUUGUUUGGGAAUGCAGCUCUAAGUGGGUGGUAAAUUCCAUCUAAAGCUAAAUAUUGGCGAGAGACCGAUAGCGAACAAGUACAGUGAUGGAAAGAUGAAAAGAACUUUGAAAAGAGAGUGAAAAAGUACGUGAAAUUGUUGAAAGGGAAGGGCAUUAGAUCAGACUUGGUGUUUUACGAUUAUCUUCUCUUCUUGAGUUGUGCACUCGUAUUUCACUGGGCCAGCAUCGAUUCGGAUGGCAAGAUAAUGGCAGUUGAAUGUGGCUUCACUUCGGUGGAGUGUUAUAGCUUCUGUUGAUAUUGCCUGUCUGGAUCGAGGGCUGCGUCUUUUGACUAGGAUGCUGGCGUAAUGAUCUAAUGCCGC